UACAGAGGUGCCGAGCGUUAGGCGGAAUCACUGGGCUUAAAGCGUGUGUAGGCGGAUGCCUAAGUACCUUGUGAAAUCCCACGGCUUAACCGUGGAACUGCUCGGUAUACUGGGUGUCUUGAGCCACUUAGGGGUUACCGGAACAAAUGGUGGAGCGGUGAAGUGCGUAGAUAUCAUUUGGAACGCCAAUGGUGAAAACAGGUAACUGGGAGUGUGCUGACGCUGAGACACGAAAGCCAGGGGAGCGAACGGGG
Molecule: ribosomal RNA, 254 nt
Filed under: uncultured bacterium
Lineage: Bacteria
Description: partial 16S ribosomal RNA
Rfam family: Bacterial small subunit ribosomal RNA
Source: RNAcentral